Molecule: ribosomal RNA, 468 nt
Filed under: uncultured bacterium
Lineage: Bacteria
Description: partial 16S ribosomal RNA
Rfam family: Bacterial small subunit ribosomal RNA
Source: RNAcentral
GACGAACGCUGGCGGCGUGCUUAACACAUGCAAGUCGAACGGAGAGUCCCUGCUUGUGUCGGGUGCUCGCGUGGCGAACGUGUGUGUAACACGUGUGUAACCUGCUCUUGACUUUGGUAUAACUUCAGGAAACUGGGUCUAAUACUGGAUAGUUGCUCUUGCUCCUUGGUGGGUGUUGGAAAGUUUCGCCGGUUGGGAAUGGACUCCCGGCUUUUCAGUUUGUUGGGGGGGUACUGGUCUACCAAGGGUUUGUCGGGUACCCGCCCUGAGAGGGUGACCGGCGACAUUGGGAGUGAGAGACAGCCCCGACUCCUCCGGGAGACAGAAGAGGGGAAAAUAGUACAAUGGGGGGAAGCCUGUUGCAGAAACACCGCGCGCGGGAUAAGGAGCUUUGGGGUGUAAACAGCUUUCGCCUGUGACAAGGAGAAAGUGACGGUAAUGGGUUAAGAAGCACCGGCUAACUACGUG